CCAGACUCCUACGGGAGGCAGCAGUGGGGAAUAUUGCACAAUGGGGGAAACCCUGAUGCAGCGACGCCGCGUGAGCGAUGAAGUAUUUCGGUAUGUAAAGCUCUAUCAGCAGGGAAGAAAAUGACGGUACCUGACUAAGAAGCCCCGGCUAACUACGUACCAGCAGCCGCGGUAAUACGUAGGGGGCAAGCGUUAUCCGGAUUUACUGGGUGUAAAGGGAGCGUAGACGGUCCUGCAAGCCAGAUGUGAAAGCCCGGGGCUCAACCCCGGGACUGCAUUUGGAACUGUAAGGCUAGAGUGUCGGAGAGGCAGGCGGAAUUCCUAGUGUAGCGGUGAAAUGCGUAGAUAUCAGGAGGAACACCGGUGGCGAAGGCGGCCUGCUGGACUGCAACUGACGUUGAGGCCCGAAAGCGUGGGGAGCAAACAGGAUUAGAUACCCGAGUACA
This 446-nucleotide ribosomal RNA is filed under the name uncultured bacterium. Its description in RNAcentral is "bacterial SSU rRNA". It matches the Rfam family "Bacterial small subunit ribosomal RNA", at positions 331 to 797 of the family's 1533-position model. The record is from RNAcentral.